This 22-nucleotide small nuclear RNA is filed under the name Arabidopsis thaliana (thale cress). RNAcentral describes it as "snRNA_13869". The record is from RNAcentral. Lineage: Eukaryota; Viridiplantae; Streptophyta; Magnoliopsida; Brassicales; Brassicaceae.
UGUUGAGAUUUCCCGAGUAAUA